This 397-nucleotide small RNA is filed under the name Histoplasma capsulatum. RNAcentral's name for it is "hypothetical RNA". The record is from RNAcentral. RNAcentral also lists the same sequence under 1 other name. Lineage: Eukaryota; Fungi; Ascomycota; Eurotiomycetes; Onygenales; Ajellomycetaceae.
CCUCCACAACCCUUUUCAACUCUCUAACUCCAUCUAAGAUCUCUCUUAAACCCCCCUCAACUAGUUGCCUCGCCUCCUCCCUCUUCUCCCUCUCCCUUCUCCAUUCCUCCUCCUUUCUCUCCCACUUCCCCACAGCCUCUCUCUGACUCUGUUCAAAAACUUCCUUCCACCCGUUCAACUCUUCAAUACCCCCUUUAAUCAUCUCAACCUCGCCCUGAGUCACACCAAGUACAUCACCAACCUCCUUCACCCUCGUCUCGAGAUCCGACUUCAAUUCUUCCGUCGUUGUGAUUGCCUUAGCAGAAGAGGAUGCCAGAGUCUCUUCGAGCGCGUCGAGGCGGGAGACGAGGGUGUUGUGUUCGCGUCGGAGUUGGUGUGCCCAGAGGAGAGAAGCGGG